GAAUAAUAUGGAUUGGCUUGUCCCUCUAGACAUUUUUUUUCUGCCAGUCAUACCACAGGGGUUAUCAGCCUUAGAUGGUUUUUUUAUGUGAAUCUUUCAGUGUAGGGAUUUCCAGACCACAAAGUUGGUACCAAUUUGAACAGCACAUACAGGAGAAAAGGCCCAUGGUUAGAAUUCUCAGAGUAGUAUUGAUUUUAAAGACAGGUAGACGAUUACCACAUUUUCUUAUCCAUUCAUCCAUUGAUGGACCCUUGGGUAGCUUCCACCUUCUGGCUAUUUUGAACAAUGCUGCUAUGAACAUGGGUGUACAAAUGUCAGCUUGAGUCUCUGCUUUCAUUUCUUGUGGGUUGGGUUUUUGAGAAAUCAUCAUACUGUUUUCCACAGCUGCAUCAUUUUACAUUCCUUCCAGCAGUGUCAAGUAUUCCUUCCAAUUUUGCCAGUGUUUAUUAUUUAUUUGUUUGUUGUGAGACAGAGCCUCACUCUGUAGCCCAGGCUGGAGUCCAGUGGCAUGAUCUCUGCUCACUGCAACCUCCGCCUCCCAGGUUCAAGUGAUUCUCCUGCCUCAGCCUCCCAAGUAGCUGGGAUUACAGGCACCCAACCACCACGGCUGGCUCA
Molecule: long non-coding RNA, 615 nt
Filed under: Homo sapiens (human)
Lineage: Eukaryota; Metazoa; Chordata; Mammalia; Primates; Hominidae
Description: non-protein coding lnc-MTR-4:1
Source: RNAcentral